GACGAACGCUGGCGGCGUGCUUAACACAUGCAAGUCGAACGGAAAGGCCCUGCUUUUGUGGGGUGCUCGAGUGGCGAACGGGUGAGUAACACGUGAGUAACCUGCCCUUGACUUUGGGAUAACUUCAGGAAACUGGGGCUAAUACCGGAUAGGAGCUCCUGCUGCAUGGUGGGGGUUGGAAAGUUUCGGCGGUUGGGGAUGGACUCGCGGCUUAUCAGCUUGUUGGUGGGGUAGUGGCUUACCAAGGCUUUGACGGGUAGCCGGCCUGAGAGGGUGACCGGCCACAUUGGGACUGAGAUACGGCCCAGACUCCUACGGGAGGCAGCAGUGGGGAAUAUUGCACAAUGGGCGGAAGCCUGAUGCAGCAACGCCGCGUGCGGGAUGACGGCCUUCGGGUUGUAAACCGCUUUCGCCUGUGACGAAGCGUGAGUGAGGGUAAUGGGUAAAGAAGCACCGGCUAACUACGU
Molecule: ribosomal RNA, 467 nt
Filed under: uncultured bacterium
Lineage: Bacteria
Description: partial 16S ribosomal RNA
Rfam family: Bacterial small subunit ribosomal RNA
Source: RNAcentral